RNAcentral lists this ribosomal RNA (612 nucleotides) under Echinoplaca sp. MC-2021a. RNAcentral describes it as "partial large subunit ribosomal RNA". It matches the Rfam family "Eukaryotic large subunit ribosomal RNA", at positions 35 to 658 of the family's 3401-position model. Lineage: Eukaryota; Fungi; Ascomycota; Lecanoromycetes; Ostropales; Graphidaceae. The record is from RNAcentral.
UAAGCAUAUCAAUAAGCGGAGGAAAAGAAACCAACAGGGAUUGCCCUAGUAACGGCGAGUGAAGCGGCAAAAGCUCAGAUUUGAAAUCUCUUUAUUUGAUAAAGCGAAUUGUAAUCUGUAGAAGGUUGAAUGGUUGAAUAUUCUGAUUUAAUUUUUUUGGAACAAAAAAUCAUAGAGGGUGAGAAUCCCGUGACUAUCAGAAAAUAGACCAAUUAAUUCACCUUUCGACGAGUCGAGUUGUUUGGGAAUGCAGCUCUAAAUGGGUGGUAAAUUUCAUCUAAAGCUAAAUACCUGCCAGAGACCGAUAGCGAACAAGUAGAGUGAUCGAAAGAUGAAAAGCACUUUGAAAAGAGAGUUAAAAAGUACGUGAAAUUGUUGAAAGGGAAGCGCUUGCGAUUAGACUUGAUAAUUAAAUUCGAUCAAUUAAUUAAUUCGAUUUAUUUUUUGAUUAUCAGGCCAGCAUCAGUUUGGUGGGAUUUAUAAAAUUAAUCGGAAUGUAGUAAUUAUUUCGAUAAUUAUGUUAUAGCCUUUUAAAUAAUAAAUCCACACCGGACUGAGGUCUGCCCUUUUGGAAGGAUGCUGGCAUAAUGAUCGUAAGCGACCCGUCUUGAA